Non-coding RNA from Scaptodrosophila lebanonensis, 72 nucleotides. Lineage: Eukaryota; Metazoa; Arthropoda; Insecta; Diptera; Drosophilidae. The record is from the annotation of a RefSeq genome assembly.
GACUAUGUGGCGCAAUGGAAGCGCAUCUGAUUUAAGAUCAGAAGGUUGCGUGUUCGAAUCACGUCGUAGUCA